CGGUCAACAGCACCUUCCUGAUUGAAGAGAACCACGCGUUGUCUGUGUGGUUUACAAGUUUCUUGGCGAUAUGGGGGGAAAGUUCCUCACAUACCAACGGAAAAUGGGCUUCAUAUACAUGCUGCUGUCUCAUAAUAUGGCGAAGACGAGUCACCUGAAGGCCUAACUCGCCAUAGAAGACUGAAAGAAUUGUCCUGCAGGAUGCUGUGUCCUGCAAUCCUGUGUGCUGUGCUACAGACGCGUGUGGAGGUCAACCCAAAAUGGGCACAGUCUCACCACAGAAGAGUGAAAGAGGGUAAGCUUAACCUAUAGCCUACGUCAGGGUCGGGGAACGUUUCUCAUUCGAAGGGCCGCUUCAAAUUCAUCCGAGGGGCCGUAAAAGUCCUCCAAGGGCCGUACUAUGAACACAAACCAGGAUUUUCCCUUUCACUUUAGGCCUAUAUUGAAGGCAGCCACAUUUAAACAAACGCCACCUUCUUCAGGUUCCCUGAAUAUAACUUAAUUGUAUUGCAAAUGUAUUUUCUAAGGUUCCUUUACAAAAUAUGUCAUAUUUUAUGUGAAGCUGAAUAGCAUUAAAAUUAUAUCGGGGGGCCAGAUAAAACUGCCUCAAGGGUCGCAAACGGCCCUAGAGACAUAGGUUCCCCACCCCUGGCCUACAUUGUCAAUAUGACUUGUGCUACU
Long non-coding RNA from Engraulis encrasicolus (European anchovy), 681 nucleotides. RefSeq lists it as uncharacterized. Lineage: Eukaryota; Metazoa; Chordata; Actinopteri; Clupeiformes; Engraulidae. The record is from RefSeq and is a predicted model, not a curated record. The transcript has 3 exons.